Long non-coding RNA from Oncorhynchus keta (chum salmon), 2514 nucleotides. RefSeq lists it as uncharacterized. The transcript has 6 exons. The record is from RefSeq and is a predicted model, not a curated record. Lineage: Eukaryota; Metazoa; Chordata; Actinopteri; Salmoniformes; Salmonidae.
CACAUCUAUUCUCUAAGCACUCCUGUCUUUGGAUUCCACACAUUGACAGAGGAGCUGAGGGGGAGUCUGGACUGGAGGGGAAACUAGAUCACAUGGGAGUUUACAGAUCAAAAAGACUCGUUUCUUCGGGGGCCGUGUGUACAGGAGACAGUUCCCCUGCUAUGCGUACUUGGGAGUGUGCUGCUCCUCAACAGUGUGUACCUAGGUUUAUACUAGUUUUGUCCAUCUCCCUGCUCCUCAACAGUGUGUGUCUAGGUUUAUACUAGUUUUGUCCAUCUCCCUGCUCCUCAACAGUGUGUGUCUAGGUUUAUACUAGUUUUGUCCAUCUCCCUGCUCCUCAGCAGUGUGUGUCUAGGUUUAUACUAGUUUUGUCCAUCUCCCUGCUCCUCAACAGUGUGUGCCUAGGUUUAUACUAGUUUUGUCCAUCUCCCUGCUCCUCAACAGUGUGUGUCUAGGUUUAUACUAGUUUUGUCCAUCUCCCUGCUCCUCAGCAGUGUGUGUCUAGGUUUAUACUAGUUUUGUCCAUCUCCCUGCUCCUCAACAGUGUGUGCCUAGGUUUAUACUAGUUUUGUCCAUCUCCCUGCUCCUCAACAGUGUGUCUAGGUUUAUACUAGUUUUGUCCAUCUCCCUGCUCCUCAACAGUGUGUGUCUAGGUUUAUACUAGUUUUGUCCAUCUCCCUGCUCCUCAGCAGUGUGUGUCUAGGUUUAUACUAGUUUUGUCCAUCUCCCUGCUCCUCAGCAGUGUGUGUCUAGGUUUAUACUAGUUUUGUCCAUCUCCCUGCUCCUCAACAGUGUGUGCCUAGGUUUAUACUAGUUUUGUCCAUCUCCCUGCUCAUCAGCAGUGUGUGUCUAGGUUUAUACUAGUUUUGUCCAUCUCCCUGCUCCUCAACAGUGUGUGUCUAGGUUUAUACUAGUUUUGUCCAUCUCCCUGCUCCUCAGCAGUGUGUGUCUAGGUUUAUACUAGUUUUGUCCAUCUCCCUGCUCCUCAACAGUGUGUGUCUAGGUUUAUACUAGUUUUGUCCAUCUCCCUGCUCCUCAACAGUGUGUGCCUAGGUUUAUACUAGUUUUGUCCAUCUCCCUGCUCCUCAACAGUGUGUGUCUAGGUUUAUACUAGUUUUGUCCAUCUCCCUGCUCCUCAGCAGUGUGUGUCUAGGUUUAUACUAGUUUUGUCCAUCUCCCUGCUCCUCAACAGUGUGUGUCUAGGUUUAUACUAGUUUUGUCCAUCUCCCUGCUCCUCAACAGUGUGUGUCUAGGUUUAUACUAGUUUUGUCCAUCUCCCUGCUCCUCAACAGUGUGUGUCUAGGUUUAUACUAGUUUUGUCCAUCUCCCUGCUCCUCAACAGUGUGUGUCUAGGUUUAUACUAGUUUUGUCCAUCUCCCUGCUCCUCAACAGUGUGUGUCUAGGUUUAUACUAGUUUUGUCCAUCUCCCUGCUCCUCAACAGUGUGUGUCUAGGUUUAUACUAGUUUUGUCCAUCUCCCUGCUCCUCAACAGUGUGUGUCUAGGUUUAUACUAGUUUUGUCCAUCUCCCUGCUCCUCAACAGUGUGUGUCUAGGUUUAUACUAGUUUUGUCCAUCUCCCUGCUCCUCAGCAGUGUGUGUCUAGGUUUAUACUAGUUUUGUCCAUCUCCCUGCUCCUCAACAGUGUGUGUCUAGGUUUAUACUAGUUUUGUCCAUCUCCCUGCUCCUCAGCAGUGUGUGUCUAGGUUUAUACUAGUUUUGUCCAUCUCCCUGCUCCUCAACAGUGUGUGUCUAGGUUUAUACUAGUUUUGUCCAUCUCCCUGCUCCUCAACAGUGUGUGUCUAGGUUUAUACUAGUUUUGUCCAUCUCCCUGCUCCUCAGCAGUGUGUGUCUAGGUUUAUACUAGUUUUGUCCAUCUCCCUGCUCCUCAACAGUGUGUGUCUAGGUUUAUACUAGUUUUGUCCAUCUCCCUGCUCCUCAGCAGUGUGUGUCUAGGUUUAUACUAGUUUUGUCCAUCUCCCUGCUCCUCAACAGUGUGUGUCUAGGUUUAUACUAGUUUUGUCCAUCUCCCUGCUCCUCAACAGUGUGUGUCUAGGUUUAUACUAGUUUUGUCCAUCUCCCUGCUCCUCAGCAGUGUGUGUCUAGGUUUAUACUAGUUUUGUCCAUCUCCCUGCUCCUCAGCAGUGUGUGUCUAGGUUUAUACUAGUUUUGUCCAUCUCCCUGCUCCUCAACAGUGUGUGUCUAGGUUUAUACUAGUUUUGUCCAUCUCCCUGCUCCUCAACAGUGUGUGUCUAGGUUUAUACUAGUUUUGUCCAUCUCCCUGCUCCUCAACAGUGUGUGUCCAGGUCUAUUCUACUGGAAUAUAUUAUGGGGUGCUACUGUGGAGAAGGAAACCAAGGCUGGGGCUGUCUGGUGCAGGUCUAUUCUACUGGAAUAUAUUAUGGGGUGCUACUGUGGAGAAGGAAACCAAGGCUGGGGCUGUCUGGUGCAGGUCUAUUCUACUGGAAUAUAUUAUGGGGUGCUACUGUGGAGAAGGAAACCAAGGCUGGGGCUGUC